GCUUGCUUCCCCGGGCGUCGACCGGCGCACGGGUGAGUAACGCGUAUCCAACCUGCCUCUGACUGAGGGAUAACCCGUCGAAAGUCGGCCUAAUACCUCAUGGCAUCGUCUGCGGGCAUCCAACGACGAUUAAAGAUUUCAUCGGUCAGGGAUGGGGAUGCGUCUGAUUAGCUAGUUGGCGGGGUAACGGCCCACCAAGGCUACGAUCAGUAGGGGUUCUGAGAGGAAGGUCCCCCACAUUGGAACUGAGACACGGUCCAAACUCCUACGGGAGGCAGCAGUGAGGAAUAUUGGUCAAUGGGCGAGAGCCUGAACCAGCCAAGUAGCGUGCAGGAAGACGGCCCUAUGGGUUGUAAACUGCUUUUAUGCGGGGAUAAAGUGAGGGACGUGUCCUUCAUUGCAGGUACCGCAUGAAUAAGGACCGGCUAAUUCCGUGCCAGCAGCCGCGGUAAUACGGAAGGUCCGGGCGUUAUCCGGAUUUAUUGGGUUUAAAGGGAGCGUAGGCCGUGGAUUAAGCGUGUUGUGAAAUGCAGGUGCUCAACGUCUGCACUGCAGCGCGAACUGGUCCACUAGAGUGUGCACAACGCAGGCGGAAUUCGUCGUGUAGCGGUGAAAUGCUUAGAUAUGACGAAGAACUCCGAUUGCG
This 646-nucleotide ribosomal RNA is filed under the name uncultured Bacteroidales bacterium. RNAcentral's name for it is "bacterial SSU rRNA". It matches the Rfam family "Bacterial small subunit ribosomal RNA", at positions 73 to 717 of the family's 1533-position model. Lineage: Bacteria; Pseudomonadati; Bacteroidota; Bacteroidia; Bacteroidales. The record is from RNAcentral.